RNAcentral lists this long non-coding RNA (897 nucleotides) under Phasianus colchicus (ring-necked pheasant). RNAcentral describes it as "lncRNA (ENSPCLG00000016613.1)". Lineage: Eukaryota; Metazoa; Chordata; Aves; Galliformes; Phasianidae. The record is from RNAcentral.
GCCACAUGGUGUCCCCGACAUCCCAGUGUCCCCUCACAGCGUCCCCAUGAUGUUUUCCCCAACGUCUCCAUGGUGAUGUCCCCAAUGUCCCAUGGCACAGCUCCAUGGUGUCCCCAAUGUCCCUAUGAUGUCCACAGUGUCCCUAUAACAACGUCCCCAAUGUCCCCAUCGUGAUGUCCCCAGCAUCCCAUGGCACAGCUCCAUGGUGUCCCCAACGUCUCCAUGUGUCCCCAUGAUGUUUUUCCCAAUGUCCCCAUGGUGAUGUCCCCAACAUCCCAUGGCACAGCUCCAUGGUGUCCCCAAUGUCCCUAUGAUGUCCCCAGUGUCCCUAUAGCGUCCCCAAUGUCCCCAUGGUGAUGUCCCCAACAUCUCCACGCACAGCCACAUGAUGUCCCCCACAUCCCAACGUCCCCCCUCCCAGUGUCCCCCCCACGAUGUCCCCAACGUCCCCCAUCCCUUUGGUGGCAUCAUCCACACGUCAGGGUGGGACAAACAAGGCAGGAUGUGACAAGGGGACAGGAUCUGGGUUCCCCACCCCAAAUUUGGGUCCGCCCCACUCCCCCUCUGCCCCAGCACUGCGGUGUCACUCGGGGGUGGCAUCAGUGUCACCUUUUGUGUCCCCAUUCCCCUCCCCCCCACGUUGGGGUGCUGCCCAGGAGCAGCUUUCAGCCACCAAACGCCCCAGGAGCCAAACAAACCUUUAUACCAAAAGUGGGGUUGGACACCCGCUGCCAUUUUGUCACCGUAUGUCCUGGUUGUGUCCCUUUGUCACCACUCCUCCUGCUGUCCCUUUGUCCUGGUUGUUCCUUUGUCACCAUUCCUCCUUGCGUCCCUUUGUCACCACUCCUCUUGUUGUCUCUUUGUCACCACUCCUGGUGUCUCUUUGUCCUGGUUGUC